Cervus hanglu yarkandensis (Yarkand deer) is the source of this 145-nucleotide small nuclear RNA. Its record names the gene U4. It matches the Rfam family "U4 spliceosomal RNA". Rfam says of the family: U4 small nuclear RNA (U4 snRNA) is a component of the major U2-dependent spliceosome. The structure of U4 snRNA from yeast and human has been reported. The record is from Ensembl. Lineage: Eukaryota; Metazoa; Chordata; Mammalia; Artiodactyla; Cervidae.
AGCUUUGCGCAGUGGCAGUAUCGAAGCCAAUGAGGUUUAUCCGAGGCGCGAUUAUUGCUAAUUGAAAACUUUUCCCAAAGCCUUUGUCUUUUUGAGUGCUCUGCAUGUGUCUUUAUGUAGACACCAGGAAUAAUCUUGCCAAUGA